Long non-coding RNA from Hemicordylus capensis (graceful crag lizard), 961 nucleotides. RefSeq lists it as uncharacterized. NCBI's taxonomy places the organism in Eukaryota, Metazoa, Chordata, Lepidosauria, Squamata, Cordylidae. The record is from RefSeq and is a predicted model, not a curated record. The transcript has 2 exons.
GUGGACCAGUUGGGGGAAGGUGUAUAUAUAAAGUCCUCAAGGGAGGCAAGCUGACACUUUCUAUUAUAGUUUUGCCACAAUGAACUGUAGAUUAUCUUCUUUAGUUCUUCUAAUCACUGAAAGCAAUACGGCACUCCAACUGCAGCGGCCGAGUGGCCAAGAGACGGGUUACCUUCAAGAUCUCGUGGCUGUUCUCUAUUCCCUCUUCAUGCCAUGCAUCAAGGAUCUGGUCCACUUCAGCAUAACCCAGACCAUCAUCCAGACUGGAGAACACCCGGAAGCCGAUUGUACUUGUCAUUGCCGAUGGUGUGAUAGUGCGCCUCCCACUUUCAUCAAAAGACUAGAACGGAGCAGCGGGGAGAGAGAUUUAGCACAACCCCAAACCCUCCCACCUGGGAAAUUGGGUAACUUAGCCCUGAUGUGGUCAGGUGACUGCCUGGUCUAAUGGGGACACAUCAGGCCCAGGAAGAAAGCUAGUCUAGGACCCGCCCUCCACCAAGAGCGUUUUCUUGAAUGGAGGCCCAAUCCAUCACGUGAGCCUCCACUUUUAUUCUGAAGUGGAACAAUCCAGAGACAGGCUCAUGACCCCAGUGAGGACUAAGCUGUAGACAGAGGUUUAUUUUGCAGGAUAACAGCCCUGAGUUGACCCCUUCUGAACCAUACUUGCACAAAAAUGAUCUUGGCAUUUGAAAGUUUUAAGGCAGAAUCAAUCUUACUUAACUGGUUUUGCGGUUGCUGUAGUCAGAACUGCACCAUCUGUGGCCUUUGGGAGGACGCUGAAGGCACACCUAUUCAGUCAGGCUUUUAGCUGAUUUUUUAAAACUUUAUUUUAAACUUGUUUAACUUUUUUUAAAUUUAUAGAUGUGUUAAUUGGCUGUGAACCGCCCUGAGACUUUGGUCAUAGGCGGUAAAGAAAUAUGUCAGAUAAAUAAUAAAACAGCAUUUUCUGCCAUUCUUGGCA